This 340-nucleotide ribosomal RNA is filed under the name Escherichia coli. Its description in RNAcentral is "bacterial SSU rRNA". It matches the Rfam family "Bacterial small subunit ribosomal RNA", at positions 636 to 975 of the family's 1533-position model. The record is from RNAcentral. Lineage: Bacteria; Pseudomonadati; Pseudomonadota; Gammaproteobacteria; Enterobacterales; Enterobacteriaceae.
GCAAGCUUGAGUCUCGUAGAGGGGGGUAGAAUUCCAGGUGUAGCGGUGAAAUGCGUAGAGAUCUGGAGGAAUACCGGUGGCGAAGGCGGCCCCCUGGACGAAGACUGACGCUCAGGUGCGAAAGCGUGGGGAGCAAACAGGAUUAGAUACCCUGGUAGUCCACGCCGUAAACGAUGUCGACUUGGAGGUUGUGCCCUUGAGGCGUGGCUUCCGGAGCUAACGCGUUAAGUCGACCGCCUGGGGAGUACGGCCGCAAGGUUAAAACUCAAAUGAAUUGACGGGGGCCCGCACAAGCGGUGGAGCAUGUGGUUUAAUUCGAUGCAACGCGAAGAACCUUACC